Molecule: ribosomal RNA, 250 nt
Filed under: uncultured bacterium
Lineage: Bacteria
Description: partial 16S ribosomal RNA
Rfam family: Bacterial small subunit ribosomal RNA
Source: RNAcentral
UACGAGGGGUGCAAGCGUUAAUCGGAAUUACUGGGCGUAAAGCGUGCGUAGGUGGUUUGUUAAGCAAGAUGUGAAAGCCCUGGGCUCAACCUGGGAACUGCAUUUUGAACUGGCAAGCUAGAGUUAUUGUGAGAGGUAGUAGUACUUCAGUGUAGCGGUGAAAUGCGUAGAGAUUGGAAGGAACAUCAGUGGCGAAGGCGGCUACCUGGACAAAGACUGACACUGAGGCACGAAAGCGUGGGGAGCAAAC